UGAAGCAUAAUUUGGAAGAGGAGGAAAUACUUUGCAGAUAUCUCCAUUGAAGUUGAGAAAAGUGAUGCUGAGGUCCAGGCCGAGGGAGUCUACAACCAAAGGCUUCAGAAUUUGGCUCUUACUCUUGACAAGCUCUUCAAAGCCUACCACUUGUGUACUCAUCACAGUCAACCACAAAGAUCACCUACUCAAUGCAUAUACAACGUUAUUCGACUCACCAAGAGGAGGCUACACUAAUUCUGGUAUAAAUUAG
This is a long non-coding RNA of Camellia sinensis, 253 nucleotides long. RefSeq lists it as uncharacterized. The record is from RefSeq and is a predicted model, not a curated record. NCBI's taxonomy places the organism in Eukaryota, Viridiplantae, Streptophyta, Magnoliopsida, Ericales, Theaceae.